This 94-nucleotide transfer RNA is filed under the name Madurella mycetomatis. It matches the Rfam family "tRNA". From Rfam's summary of the family: Transfer RNA (tRNA) molecules are approximately 80 nucleotides in length. Their secondary structure includes four short double-helical elements and three loops (D, anti-codon, and T loops). The record is from Rfam by way of RNAcentral. Lineage: Eukaryota; Fungi; Ascomycota; Sordariomycetes; Sordariales.
GCCCGGCUAGCUCAAUCGGUAGAGCGUGAGACUCUUAAGGAUUCUCCCGGAAAGUAAAAUCUCAAGGUUGUGGGUUCGACCCCCACGUCGGGCU